GGACUUAUAGGGAUGCCCUGAGGAUGCAUGGGGUGCCAUAGGAACCCAUAGAAUCACAGAACCCCAGCACGGCCUGGGUUGCACAGGAGCACAGCGCUCACCUGGUUGCAACCCCUGCUGUGUGCAGGUCGCCAACCAGCAGCCCAGGCUGCCCAGAGAACCCACAGGGUGCCAUAAGGAUCCAUAGUGAGCCACAGUGAUCCAUAGGGUGCCAUAGGGAUUGAUAGGGUGCCAUAGGGAUCCACAGGGUGCCAUAAGGAUCCAUAGUGAGCCACAGUGAUCCAUAGGGUGCCAUAGAGAUUGAUAGGGUGCCAUAGGGAUCCACAGGAUGCCAUAGGGAUUGAUAGAGUGCCAUAGGGAUCCACAGGGUGCCAUAAGGAUCCAUAGUGAGCCACAGUGAUCCAUAGGGUGCCAUAGAGAUUGAUAGGGUGCCAUAGGGAUCCACAG
Tympanuchus pallidicinctus (lesser prairie-chicken) is the source of this 447-nucleotide long non-coding RNA. RefSeq lists it as uncharacterized. NCBI's taxonomy places the organism in Eukaryota, Metazoa, Chordata, Aves, Galliformes, Phasianidae. The transcript is spliced from 3 exons. The record is from RefSeq and is a predicted model, not a curated record.